This 821-nucleotide ribosomal RNA is filed under the name uncultured bacterium. Its description in RNAcentral is "bacterial SSU rRNA". It matches the Rfam family "Bacterial small subunit ribosomal RNA", at positions 627 to 1447 of the family's 1533-position model. The record is from RNAcentral.
UGGAAACUNUCUGACUUGAGUGCAGAAGGGGAGAGUGGAAUUCCAUGUGUAGCGGUGAAAUGCGUAGAUAUAUGGAGGNACACCAGUGGCGAAAGCGGCUCUCUGGUCUGUCACUGACGCUGAGGCUCGAAAGCGUGGGUAGCGAACAGGAUUAGAUACCCUGGUAGUCCACGCCGUAAACGAUGAGUGCUAGGUGUUAGGCCCUUUCCGGGGCUUAGUGCCGGAGCUAACGCAAUAAGCACUCCGCCUGGGGAGUACGACCGCAAGGUUGAAACUCAAAGGAAUUGACGGGGGCCCGCACAAGCGGUGGAGCAUGUGGUUUAAUUCGAAGCAACGCGAAGAACCUUACCAGGUCUUGACAUCCCGAUGCUAUUCUUAGAGAUAGGAAGUUACUUCGGUACAUCGGAGACAGGUGGUGCAUGGUUGUCGUCAGCUCGUGUCGUGAGAUGUUGGGUUAAGUCCCGCAACGAGCGCAACCCUUAUUGUUAGUUGCCAUCAUUAAGUUGGGCACUCUAGCGAGACUGCCGGUAAUAAACCAGAGGAAGGUGGGGAUGACGUCAAAUCAUCAUGCCCCUUAUGACCUGGGCUACACACGUGCUACAAUGGUCGGUACAACGAGUUGCGAGCCGGUGACGGCAAGCUAAUCUCUGAAAGCCGAUCUCAGUUCGGAUUGGAGGCUGCAACUCGCCUCCAUGAAGUCGGAAUCGCUAGUAAUCGCGGAUCAGCACGCCGCGGUGAAUACGUUCCCGGGCCUUGUACACACCGCCCGUCACACCACGAGAGUUUGUAACACCCGAAGUCGGCGAGGUANCCUUUUAGGG